GGGAUGCCGCAGGGAGCGCGGAGACAGGUGGUGCAUGGCUGUCGUCAGCUCGUGUCGUGAGAUGUUGGGUUAAGUCCCGCAACGAGCGCAACCCUCACCCCUUGUUGCUACCAGGUAAAGCUGGGCACUCUAGGGGAACUGCCCCGGUCAACGGGGAGGAAGGCGGGGAUGACGUCAAGUCAUCAUGCCCCUUACGUCCUGGGCUACACACGUGCUACAAUGGCCGGUACAAAGGGAUGCCACACCGCGAGGUAGAGCUAAACCCAAAAAGCCGGUCUAAGUUCAGAUUGGAGUCUGCAACUCGACUCCAUGAAGGAGGAAUCGCUAGUAAUCGCGUAUCAGCACGACGCGGUGAAUACGUUCCCGGGCCUUGUACACACCGCCCGUCACACCACGAAAGCCAGCUGUACUCGAAGUUCGCUGAGA
Molecule: ribosomal RNA, 426 nt
Filed under: uncultured Methylomirabilota bacterium
Lineage: Bacteria; Methylomirabilota (SeqCode)
Description: bacterial SSU rRNA
Rfam family: Bacterial small subunit ribosomal RNA
Source: RNAcentral